AGGGUUUGAUUAUGGCUCAGGACGAACGCUGGCGGCGUGCCUAACACAUGCAAGUCGAACGGAGACUUUCAAUAAGUUUACUUAGCGAAAGUUUUAGUGGCGGACGGGUGAGUAACGCGUGGGUAACCUACCCAUCAAGCCGGGACAACCCUUGGAAACGAGGGCUAAUACCGGAUAGGCUUAGAGCUUGGCAUCAAGCUUUAAGGAAAGAUGGCCUCUGAAGAUGCUAUCGAUGAUGGAUGGACCCGCGUCUGAUUAGCUGGUUGGUGGGGUAAAGGCCUACCAAGGCGACGAUCAGUAGCCGGCCUGAGAGGGUGAACGGCCACACUGGGACUGAGACACGGCCCAGACUCCUACGGGAGGCAGCAGUGGGGAAUCUUCCGCAAUGGACGAAAGUCUGACGGAGCAACGCCGCGUGUAUGAUGAAGGUCUUCGGAUUGUAAAGUACUGUCUUUAGGGAAGAACGGUUCCUUUGAAAAUAUUGAAGGGACAUGACGGUACCUAAGGAGGAAGCCCCGGCUAACUACGUGCCAGCAGCCGCGGUAAUACGUAGGGGGCGAGCGUUGUCCGGAAUUAUUGGGCGUAAAGGGCGCGUAGGCGGGUAUUUAAGUCCGGUGUGAAAGAUCAGGGCUCAACCCUGAGAGUGCAUCGGAAACUGGGUAUCUUGAGGACAGGAGAGGAAAGUGGAAUUCCACGUGUAGCGGUGAAAUGCGUAGAUAUGUGGAGGAACACCAGUGGCGAA
This 742-nucleotide ribosomal RNA is filed under the name Desulfosporosinus sp. enrichment culture clone K1. Its description in RNAcentral is "bacterial SSU rRNA". It matches the Rfam family "Bacterial small subunit ribosomal RNA", at positions 8 to 719 of the family's 1533-position model. Lineage: Bacteria; Bacillati; Bacillota; Clostridia; Eubacteriales; Desulfitobacteriaceae. The record is from RNAcentral.